RNAcentral lists this ribosomal RNA (469 nucleotides) under uncultured bacterium. Its description in RNAcentral is "partial 16S ribosomal RNA". It matches the Rfam family "Bacterial small subunit ribosomal RNA", at positions 28 to 508 of the family's 1533-position model. The record is from RNAcentral.
GACGAACGCUGGCGGCGUGCUUAACACAUGCAAGUCGAACGGAAAGGCCCUGCUUUUGUGGGGUGCUCGAGUGGCGAACGGGUGAGUAACACGUGAGUAACCUGCCCUUGACUUUGGGAUAACUUCAGGAAACUGGGGCUAAUACCGGAUAGGAGCUCCUGCUGCAUGGUGGUGGUUGGAAAGUUUCGGCGGUUGGGGAUGGACUCGCGGCUUAUCAACUUGUUGGUGGGGUAGUGGCUUACCAAGGCUUUGACGGGUAGCCGGCCUGAGAGGGUGACCGGCCACAUUGGGACUGAGAUACGGCCCAGACUCCUACGGGAGGCAGCAGUGGGGAAUAUUGCACAAUGGGCGGAAGCCUGAUGCAGCAACGCCGCGUGCGGGAUGACGGCCUUCGGGUUGUAAACCGCUUUCGCCUGUGACGAAGCGUGAGUGACGGUAAUGGGUAAAGAAGCACCGGCUAACUACGUGC